CCCUUAGAUGUUCUGGGCCGCACGCGCGCUACACUGACGAAUGCAGCGAGCUUAUAAUAACCUUGGCCGAAAGGUCUGGGUAAUCUCCAAAUUUCGUCGUGAUGGGGAUAGAUUAUUGCAAUUAUUAAUCUUCAACGAGGAAUGCCUAGUAAGCGCAAGUCAUCAGCUUGCGUUGAUUACGUCCCUGCCCUUUGUACACACCGCCCGUCGCUCCUACCGAUUGAAUGGUCCGGUGAAGCGUUCGGACCGUGGCCUUUGGACGGUUCGCCGUCUGUUGGCUGCGGGAAGUUCGUUAAACCUUAUCAUUUAGAGGAAGGAGAAGUCGUAACA
RNAcentral lists this ribosomal RNA (330 nucleotides) under uncultured eukaryote. RNAcentral's name for it is "partial 18S ribosomal RNA". It matches the Rfam family "Eukaryotic small subunit ribosomal RNA", at positions 1470 to 1796 of the family's 1831-position model. The record is from RNAcentral.